GCUUGUGCUAGCCUUCAGAAUUUCUGAUAAAAGCACCUGUCAACUUGAACAUGUAGUCCAUUCUGGUGGAAAGACGAAUCUACAACGAAAGACUGAACUGCUACACAGGGUUCUUCAGGAAACACAAGGGGGAGCUAGAGAUGCGACUUGGUCUCCUUGCACCUCUUCUGAUCGAUCUGGAGCGUUGCAGUGUUCUCUCUCGUCUAGAGAGGGAACAGGUGCAGAACAAGCAACUAACCCCCCAAGAACAGAACCAUGUUCUUAUAACAAUGCUGGAGAAGAAAGGGGCCGUGGCCCAAAAGAAGUUCUAUGAGGCUUUGAAGUCUCAUGACCCUCUUCUGGUGGAGGAUCUUCAGCCUUCAGUACAGAGCCCAGCAGUGCCUGAGCCACAGCAAGGAGGAGAUGCGGCAAAGACAGUUACAAAAUCUUCACUGAAACUGAAGCUUCAGAACCAUCUAAAAAAGAGGUUUUCUACUAUAAACCAACAUGAUAAAAAGUACAAUGUACAAGACAUGUACACUGAUCUUUACAUCGUAACGGGCCGCACUGGAGGAGUCAGUUUUGAACAUGAAGUGGCAGCAAUUGACAUGACACAAAUUGGGGCUAAACCAAGCUCUGAAGAUGAACAAGUCAA
This is a long non-coding RNA of Sardina pilchardus (European sardine), 634 nucleotides long. RefSeq lists it as uncharacterized. The transcript is spliced from 3 exons. The record is from RefSeq and is a predicted model, not a curated record. NCBI's taxonomy places the organism in Eukaryota, Metazoa, Chordata, Actinopteri, Clupeiformes, Clupeidae.